GAUGAAGAACGUAGCGAAAUGCGAUACGUAAUGUGAAUUGCAGAAUUCAGUGAAUCAUCGAGUCUUUGAACGCACAUUGCGCCCCCUGGUAUUCCGUGGGGCAUGCCUGUCCGAGCGUCAUUGCUGCCCUCAAGCACGGCUUGUGUGUUGGGCCCCGCCCCCCGGCUCCCGGGGGGCGGGCCCGAAAGGCAGCGGCGGCACCGCGUCCGGUCCUCGAGCGUAUGGGGCUUCGUCACCCGCUCCGUAGGCCCGGCCGGCGCCCGCCGGCGACCCCCCUCAAUCUUUUCAGGUUGACCUCGGAUCAGGUAGGGAUACCCGCUGAACUUAAGCAUAUCAAUAAGCGGAGGA
RNAcentral lists this unclassified non-coding RNA (348 nucleotides) under soil metagenome. Its description in RNAcentral is "partial contains 5.8S ribosomal RNA, internal transcribed spacer 2, and large subunit ribosomal RNA". The stretch from base 1 to 120 matches the Rfam family "5.8S ribosomal RNA", at positions 35 to 154 of the family's 154-position model. The record is from RNAcentral.